Esox lucius (northern pike) is the source of this 511-nucleotide long non-coding RNA. Lineage: Eukaryota; Metazoa; Chordata; Actinopteri; Esociformes; Esocidae. The record is from Ensembl.
CGGCAAAGGUAACGUGCAUGUUUACCGGUAUGUCUGGAUCAUAUUGCAAUGGCACGAAGACACAUUGAAGCAUUUCAGUUUGACCCAGAAUCCGAUCCAGAUGGAGAAGCAACGGAUGAAGAAGUUGCAACUCAGCGCCUCCAGAAGGAUGUUUCCGAAUGAUGUCUUCACAAAAAACUUCAACCUGCCCCUGUCCCAGACUGUUUCCAGAAGACCAUUCUGAUUCUCCCAGUGAUCAAGUAAACCAAGCUUCUGUGGAGCAGGUCUACGUUGUGGGUGCCCACUUCCAAAUCAUAAUAGCGCUGGCACCAAUGGCAGCAAAUAUCCUGCAGAGAGCACACUAGCGGGAGAUGAAGCAGCACUGCCAAAUUGCAGUAGGUUUUUGUGUUAUCAUACUACCUGCUGCUUCCUCUGCUGCGCCUACUAGCUCCUGGCCUCACCACCCAACCUUCGCCGUCAGCUCUCCCCCAGCUUCGGACCUGCCUACACAGUAUUCUCGGAGUACCCUGGC